RNAcentral lists this unclassified non-coding RNA (379 nucleotides) under uncultured bacterium. Its description in RNAcentral is "contains 16S-23S intergenic spacer region". The record is from RNAcentral.
UCACGUCUUGCGACGGCAGUUUCACUAGAGUUCCCAGCAUUACCUGAUGGCAACUAGUGAUAGGGGUUGCGCUCGUUGCGGGACUUAACCCAACAUCUCACGACACGAGCUGACGACGGCCAUGCAACACCUGUCACUUGGCUCAAUAAAGCACUCUCUCCUUUCGGAGAAAUUCCAAGGAUGUCAAGCCUGGGUAAGGUUCUUCGCUUAUCAUCGAAUUAAACAACACGCUCCACCGCUUGUGCGGGUCCCCGUCAAUUCCUUUAUGUUUUAAGCUUGCGCUCGUACUCCACAGGCGGGAUGCUUAACGCGUUAGCUUCGCUACGACACGGGUCGAUACGCAUCACAGCUAGCAUCCAUAGUUUACGGCGUGGACUAC